This 1463-nucleotide long non-coding RNA is filed under the name Vulpes vulpes (red fox). RNAcentral's name for it is "lncRNA (ENSVVUG00000005638.1)". Lineage: Eukaryota; Metazoa; Chordata; Mammalia; Carnivora; Canidae. The record is from RNAcentral.
GUAACUUUUCUAAAAGUCUGAAAUUAUCCAAAAUAAAAAGUUUUUAAAAUUAACAAGAGAUAAUAAUAACAUCUUGAGUCCAUGGCCUCCCCUAUUUCCAAAUAGCUUCUGUCUAUCCCAGAAGCAAACUGACUCUGUCUUUCAUCCAUUAGACCAUCCCAGCCAUCUGACUUAAAACAACACGAAUUAGAUUUGAUGGCCAUUGUACAGACUAUACUUUGCUAGCUCAUGCACCUCACUCCACUUUCUCUGCAACCAUGUCUGACGAACCUGAUAUGGCUAAGAUAGAGAAAUUCAAUAAAUCAAAAUUGAAGAAGACAGAAAUGCAAGACAUAAAUCCACUGCGUUCAAAAGAAACAACUGAACAGGAGAAGCAAGCCAGUGAAUCGUGAUGAGGCAUGUGCCACCCAUAUGCACUAUAUAUUCCACAAGCAUUGACUUCUUGUUUUGCUUCUCUCAGUAUGUAUUCCUCCUCCUACCUGUUUAACUUUAUAAGAUGCAAAGAGGUUAGAUCAAGUGUAAAUGACUGUGCUGCCCCUCUUCACAUCAAAGAACUACUAACAACCACAGCUUGUGCCUCUCCCAUCUGCCUGUCUGGCUGGCAGGGAAGGAAAAGUUCCUGCAUACUGGUGAAAGAAGGAGCUAGGUGGGACAACAGUGAUAUUUAGAGCAAAAACCAAGCUGGCCUAAGGUGCCCUGAAAACUUUAAAAUGUGGUUUAACCAGAGUGCCACAUUUUUGUUCAAAUGAUUUUACUGGAAAAUCAUUUUUCAUAUGCAAAUUAAAAGUUUUAAAACCAAAAUAAUAAUAAUUAAAAAAAACCCGCAAACUUACUAUCUUAUAGAUCGGCAGGUCAGAAGUCCAAAAUGACUCUUUGUGGGAUAGAGUCAAGGUUUCAGCAGAGCUUGAACCUUCUUUCCUGGAGGCUCUAGGGGAGAAUUGGCUUCCUUGCCUAUUCCAGCUUCUAGAGGCUGCCUGCAUUCCUUGGUUCAUAGCCCCUACCUCCAUCUUCAAAACUAGCAGCAUAGCAUCUUCAGAUCUUUGUUGACUUCCUCUUCUGCCUUCCUCUACUUUAAAGGACCUUAUGACUUCAGAUGAGACCCACCAGGAUAAUCCAGAAUAAUCUCUGUCUCUUAAAGUCAGUUGAUUAACAACGUUAAUUUCAUCUGCAACCUAAAUUCUUCCAUGCCAUGUAAUGAAAUAUAUUUACAGGUUGUUGGAAUGAGGACAUGAACUUCUUUGAGUGGCCAUUAAUAUGCCUAUCACAGCUACCCUCUGCCUGGAAUGCCUGGAAAGUGUGCCCUAUCCCCCAAACCCUUCUGGCUAACCAGAUCCCUAAAUCAUAAUUCUUUCAGAAACGUGUCCUUAGCUAGUUGGAAAUGUUAUAGUGAUUGCUCCAGAUCUAAUUUCCUUAACACUCCCAUCCUCAAUAAACUUAACGAUGUUACUUAUCUGGUAAGUUUU